GACGAACGCUGGCGGCGUGCUUAACACAUGCAAGUCGAACGAAGAGCGAUGGAAGCUUGCUUCUAUCAAUCUUAGUGGCGAACGGGUGAGUAACGCGUAAUCAACCUGCCCUUCAGAGGGGGACAACAGUUGGAAACGACUGCUAAUACCGCAUACGAUCUAAUCUCGGCAUCGAGGAUAGAUGAAAGGUGGCCUCUACAUGUAAGCUAUCACUGAAGGAGGGGAUUGCGUCUGAUUAGCUAGUUGGAGGGGUAACGGCCCACCAAGGCGAUGAUCAGGAGCCGGUCUGAGAGGAUGAACGGCCACAUUGGGACGGAGACACGGCCCAGACGCCUACGGGAGGCAGCAGUGGGGAAUCUUCCGCAAUGGAGGAAAGUCUGACGGAGAAACGCCGCGUGAGUGAUGACGGCCUUCGGGUUGUAAAGCUCUGUUAAUCGGGACGAAAGGCCUUCUUGCGAAUAGUGAGAAGGAUUGACGGUACCGGAAUAGAAAGCCACGGCUAACUACGUG
RNAcentral lists this ribosomal RNA (510 nucleotides) under uncultured bacterium. Its description in RNAcentral is "partial 16S ribosomal RNA". It matches the Rfam family "Bacterial small subunit ribosomal RNA", at positions 28 to 507 of the family's 1533-position model. The record is from RNAcentral.